RNAcentral lists this ribosomal RNA (301 nucleotides) under uncultured bacterium. Its description in RNAcentral is "partial 16S ribosomal RNA". It matches the Rfam family "Bacterial small subunit ribosomal RNA", at positions 509 to 807 of the family's 1533-position model. The record is from RNAcentral.
CAGCCGCCACGGGAAUACGGAGGGUGCAAGCGUUAAUCGGAAUUACUGGGCGUAAAGCGCACGCAGGCGGUCUGUCAAGUCAGAUGUGAAAUCCCCGGGCUUAACCUGGGAACUGCAUUUGAAACUGGCAGGCUAGAGUCUUGUAGAGGGGGGUAGAAUUCCAGGUGUAGCGGUGAAAUGCGUAGAGAUCUGGAGGAAUACCGGUGGCGAAGGCGGCCCCCUGGACAAAGACUGACGCUCAGGUGCGAAAGCGUGGGGAGCAAACAGGAUUAGAUACCCGGGUAGUCCCUGUCUCUUAUAC